This 219-nucleotide unclassified non-coding RNA is filed under the name Hevea brasiliensis (rubber tree). The record is from RNAcentral. Lineage: Eukaryota; Viridiplantae; Streptophyta; Magnoliopsida; Malpighiales; Euphorbiaceae.
AAAAUAAAAGAAAAAAUGCAAAUUUUUAGAAGUUUCAGGACUAAUGUGUAAAAAAGGAGAAUUUUUAGCAUUGACUAGCAUAAUCUAGAGUAGUUUUAUUAAGGCGAGAGGCGAGAGAGUACCCUAUGGCCUUAGGGCAAAGGCGAGAGGUGAGGAUGGAGGACCUUUUGAAGAGAGGUGCCAUUAGCCUAAAUUGCCUCACACACACACACACACACA